RNAcentral lists this ribosomal RNA (119 nucleotides) under Carassius auratus (goldfish). Lineage: Eukaryota; Metazoa; Chordata; Actinopteri; Cypriniformes; Cyprinidae. The record is from RNAcentral.
GCUUACGGCCAUACCAACCUGGCUAUGCCCGAUCUCGUCUGAUCUCGGAAGCUAAGCAGGUUUGGGCCUGGUUAGUACUUGGAUGGGAGACCACCUGGGAAUACCAGGUGCUGUAAGCU